GGGGUUGUGGCUCAGUGGUAGAGUGCAUGCCUUGCAUGUGUGAGGCACUGGGUUCGAGUUUCAGCACCA
Molecule: transfer RNA, 69 nt
Filed under: Ictidomys tridecemlineatus (thirteen-lined ground squirrel)
Lineage: Eukaryota; Metazoa; Chordata; Mammalia; Rodentia; Sciuridae
Description: Spermophilus tridecemlineatus (thirteen-lined ground squirrel) tRNA
Rfam family: tRNA
About the family: Transfer RNA (tRNA) molecules are approximately 80 nucleotides in length. Their secondary structure includes four short double-helical elements and three loops (D, anti-codon, and T loops).
Source: Rfam by way of RNAcentral